UGCCAGCCGCCGCGGUAAUACGUACCGGACAAACGUUAUUCGGAAUCACUGGGCUUAAAGAGUGCGUAGGCGGUCUAACAGGUGGGGUGUGAAAGCCCACGGCUCAACCGUGGAAUUGCGCUCCAAACCGUUAGGCUUGAGGGAGACAGGGGUGAGCGGAACUGAUGGUGGAGCGGUGAAAUGCGUUGAUAUCAUCAGGAACACCGGUGGCGAAGGCGGCUCACUGGGUCUCUUCUGACGCUGAGGCACGAAAGCUAGGGUAGCGAACGGGAUUAGAUA
RNAcentral lists this ribosomal RNA (279 nucleotides) under uncultured bacterium. RNAcentral's name for it is "partial 16S ribosomal RNA". It matches the Rfam family "Bacterial small subunit ribosomal RNA", at positions 506 to 784 of the family's 1533-position model. The record is from RNAcentral.